Long non-coding RNA from Drosophila navojoa, 385 nucleotides. Lineage: Eukaryota; Metazoa; Arthropoda; Insecta; Diptera; Drosophilidae. The record is from RefSeq and is a predicted model, not a curated record.
CGUAUUCUUGCAGCCGAACCACCAGUGCGCCGUGGGCCUUGGGAAAGGCGGCGUUGCCGUAUCCACCUGUUCCGGAGAAAUCGGGUAACUGCAGGUCGUUCAACUCAAGUGAGCUGCCGAGCUGAUUGCAAGUCCCUGGAGAAUCGCUGUAAACAAAUAAGAAAACAAUCAGAAUCAAGUGCGACAGGCACUUAACUGGCUCCCAUUGUCCAUCAUAAAGAACGCCAAAGUGGGCGUGGGCGUGGAUGGCAGUGCCCUGCCCGCCCCAAGGGUCUUCCCGCUUCCGCCUUUGGGGCGCACCCCACAGGCAACCACUCGAAACUUGUAUGUGUGUGUGUGUGUGUGUGAAAACCGCUUGAUUAAAUGCACAUUUGAUUGUCACUGG